RNAcentral lists this long non-coding RNA (665 nucleotides) under Musa acuminata (dwarf banana). RNAcentral describes it as "long non-coding RNA (MACU_LNC011279)". The record is from RNAcentral. Lineage: Eukaryota; Viridiplantae; Streptophyta; Magnoliopsida; Zingiberales; Musaceae.
AGGAGAGAAGACCUAUCUCUUAGAGAGGUGUUAAUUGGGUUGGUGAAGAAGAAAGAGAGUAGAGAAGAAGGAAAAGAGAAAACAAAAGGAUCUUAGUACCCCAGAGAGAGAGAGUACUAAGGACUUGUUGCACAUCCUCCUCAAGGGAUGUGUUGGGAGUAUUUAUUGAUAGCAGAUAAGAUUUUCUCAACUAUAUCUCUCUAUUCUGUUAAGGGAAAUCUUCCCUCCUAAUCUGUAUAAAUAGGAGAGGGACAUGUUAAUCCAUUCAAGCUUAUUCAGUAAUUUCUUUUCUAUCUCUUUUCAAACAUGGUAUCAGAGCAUUCUCCCUUGCGGAUGUAGGCAGCUCUGCCAAAACCUUCUGCUGCUCCUUUGGGUGUCGGUGUGGAAUCCGGAAGGACUGGUGUUGACUUUCUUCCUCCACUGUAGUUUCUCUCCUUCCUCCUCCCCUUCUGGCCCUUCUUUCCCUUCGCCGGUCACCUUCACCACCGCCGCCGACUGCGACGUCUGUUUCUCUCACAAGAAAAGCAAGAACCGAAGCUCCCACAGCCAGCAGCAGCUGACGCCAACCUCUCUGCCUUGACGCAACUCCGCGACCGCUUGUUGGCCAGCAGCAACUGCUGGCGCACAACCCGAACCACUGCGAGAUUCCUCGCCAUUGGGAAGAU